AUAGCGUAUAUUAAAGUUGUUGCAGUUAAAAAGCUCGUAGUUGAACUUCGAACGUGGCUGGGCGGUCCGCCUCACGGUGUGUACUGUCUGGCUGUGUUCUCUUUCUUGGUGAGCCGGCAUGCCCUUCACUGGGUGUGUUGGGGAACCAGGACGUUUACCUUGAGAAAAUUAGAGUGUUCAAAGCAGGCCUACGCCCGAAUACAUUAGCAUGGCAUAAUAAAAUAGGACGUGUGGUUCUAUUUUGUUGGUUUCUAGAGCCGCAGUAAUGAUUAAUAGGGAUAGUUGGGGGCAUUAGUAUUGCGUUGCUAGAGGUGAAAUUCUUGGAUUUACGCAAGACUAACUUCUG
This 346-nucleotide ribosomal RNA is filed under the name Sebacina incrustans. RNAcentral describes it as "SSU rRNA". It matches the Rfam family "Eukaryotic small subunit ribosomal RNA", at positions 594 to 945 of the family's 1831-position model. The record is from RNAcentral. Lineage: Eukaryota; Fungi; Basidiomycota; Agaricomycetes; Sebacinales; Sebacinaceae.